RNAcentral lists this long non-coding RNA (819 nucleotides) under Heterocephalus glaber (naked mole-rat). RNAcentral's name for it is "lncRNA (ENSHGLG00100036538.1)". Lineage: Eukaryota; Metazoa; Chordata; Mammalia; Rodentia; Bathyergidae. The record is from RNAcentral.
ACCUGGCCAUGGGAAGUAGCUUGUCUAGAGUAGGAGAGAACAGAGACCUGGCAAGUGUGAAACAAAAUGGACACAGGGAAGGCAGAGAGAACAAGACAUCAUUCAUGCCCUGGAACAGAAGUAAACUUAGAGUUGGUAACAUAACUGGGCUUGUUUGUUGGGAGAAAAGAAGAUAACAACACCUCCCUUACAGGAUUACUGAGGACUGGAUGAAAUAGUGCUAGUCAAAUGCUGUGUCCACAGUCAAGUGAGUGGUGGUCCGUUCCCCUGACUCUCCCAAAGGGAUCUUGGUGCCUUUGAAUUCCUUCUUGCUCAUUGGAAUCCCACCACUGAUGGACAGUUAUUGGAGCCCUGCUCAAUUUCCUCCCAGGAGCCUUUACUUCCCAGAGGACUGGCAGGUGACGAAGGACAAGAGGACAGGGUGGAGCACUGAGCAUGUCUGGGCGCAGUUAGGAGCGGCUGACACCAUAACACCCACCUAGAAGCAGCUUCGGCCUGCUGCCCGCCUGGAGCAGGGUGCUCCCCAUAGACUGGCCAUGGAGACACCUUUGGGUGUCAUCCGUGAGACCUCGAAAAUAGAUUCCUCUCUGAGCUCUAGUCCUGUCCAACAUUGACUUCUACCCAACGUGGCAGAGCAGAAGCCACGUGGGAGACAUAAACGGAGCCCACACCCUUAGCCAAAGGCUGGCUGCCACCAGACAGCUGGCCGGGAUGCUGCUGUCAGCGGAGAAUGUGCUUGUCACCGAGAACGCCAGGAAUCCGCCUGUUCUGGGCUCUGCCUCUCCAGCUAAACGAUUUCCACUUGCUGCCUGCGUGAGG